UACAGAGGUGGCAAGCGUUGUUCGGAAUUACUGGGCGUAAAGGGCGCGUAGGCGGUUCGUUAAGUCCUAUGUGAAAUCCCCCGGCUCAACUGGGGAACUGCACAGGAAACUAGCGGGCUUGAGUUCGGGAGAGGGAAGCGGAAUUCCGGGUGUAGCGGUGAAAUGCGUAGAUAUCCGGAGGAACACCGGUGGCGAAGGCGGCUUCCUGGACCGACACUGACGCUGAGGCGCGAAAGCUAGGGGAGUAAACGGG
RNAcentral lists this ribosomal RNA (253 nucleotides) under uncultured bacterium. Its description in RNAcentral is "partial 16S ribosomal RNA". It matches the Rfam family "Bacterial small subunit ribosomal RNA", at positions 524 to 776 of the family's 1533-position model. The record is from RNAcentral.